RNAcentral lists this ribosomal RNA (301 nucleotides) under uncultured bacterium. RNAcentral's name for it is "partial 16S ribosomal RNA". It matches the Rfam family "Bacterial small subunit ribosomal RNA", at positions 509 to 809 of the family's 1533-position model. The record is from RNAcentral.
CAGCAGCCGCGGUAAUACGGAGGGUGCAAGCGUUAAUCGGAAUUACUGGGCGUAAAGCGUGCGUAGGCGGUUCGUUAAGUCUGUUGUGAAAGCCCCGGGCUCAACCUGGGAAUGGCAAUGGAUACUGGCGAGCUAGAGUGUGUCAGAGGAUGGUGGAAUUCCCGGUGUAGCGGUGAAAUGCGUAGAGAUCGGGAGGAACAUCAGUGGCGAAGGCGGCCAUCUGGGACAACACUGACGCUGAGGCACGAAAGCGUGGGGAGCAAACAGGAUUAGAUACCCCAGUAGUCCCUGUCUCUUAUAA